This 285-nucleotide ribosomal RNA is filed under the name uncultured soil bacterium. RNAcentral describes it as "partial 16S ribosomal RNA". It matches the Rfam family "Bacterial small subunit ribosomal RNA", at positions 26 to 313 of the family's 1533-position model. The record is from RNAcentral.
AGAUUGAACGCUGGCGGCAGGCCUAACACAUGCAAGUCGAGCGGUAGAGAGGUGCUUGCACCUCUUGAGAGCGGCGGACGGGUGAGUAGUGCCUAGGAAUCUGCCUAGUGGUGGGGGAUAACGUUCGGAAACGGACGCUAAUACCGCAUACGUCCUACGGGAGAAAGCGGGGGACCCUCGGGCCUCGCGCCAUUAGAUGAGCCUAGGACGGAUUAGCUAGUUGGUGAGGUAAUGGCUCACCAAGGCGACGAUCCGUAACUGGUCUGAGAGGAUGAUCAGUCACAC